CCGCCCGCGCUCCCCUCUCCCAUUCAUCCUGCCGCCGUAUCGACCCGCGGCCGACCCCGCGCGGCCAGGCGCCCCCGCCCGCUGCCCUCUCCUUUCCCAGCCCGGCCUCCCCCGCGGGGGCUGUCACCGAGCGCCUGGCACGGCCGGGCCAUGCCCCGGGGAAGGAGGGACCAGGGCCGGGGGCGGGAGCCAGCCCUUGUGCUCGCAGCCCUGGGUUCGGAGCCCAGCUGCCCGGGAAGGUUUCCAGAUCUCCCUGAGCCUCAGUUUCCCCAUCUGUAAACUGGGUGGUGGUGGCUUCGUCCCCCGCUUUGAGAGGACAGCAGGAGAGGCGUCCUGAGAAGUGAGUUCGCCUGGAAGCUGCCGGGCUGUAGUUUGCGUUGAUACCACCGAUCUUCCCGGUCACUCUAGGAGACGGGCCAUAUCCCCGUUUUACAAAUGAGGAAACUAACUCAGCGAGGGGAGACGCCGUGUCCAGGGACACACAUGCACAUUUGCGAGCGGGUGAAAAUUUCUGUGAAUGUUUAUAAGCACAUGGAACGGGCAUCUUUGUGGCUGCGGGAGUUGCACGGGUCACUCAUGAGGCCGCCCACGUGGCGCUUGUUGCUUCACCUCUCGAGUAACUGACGGUAUGUUCUGGCCCUCAGCUCUCCCGGGCAGUGUCCAUCACACUCAUGGCUUCCUAGACUUCCAUCUCCGGUCUAAUCACCUUCCGAACGCCAGAACCAUCACGUCUGCUGCCCUUGAACACCUCCCCUAGGUGUCCCUGUGGGCCACCCAGGUUCCCUCCACCCCAGUCUUCCCCACCUGCUUCUCCUUCAUGCUUCCCUCUCAGGGAGUUUGAGACCAGGCUGACCAACAUGGAGAAACCCCGACUCUACUAGAAAUACAAAAUCAGCUGGGUGUGGUGGCGCAUGCCUGUAAUCCCAGCUACUCGGGAGGCUGAGGCAGAAUUGCUUGAGCCUGGGAGGCGGAGGUUGCAGUGAGCCGAGAUUGCACCAUUGCACUCCAGCCUGGGCAACAAGAGCAAAACUCCGUCUCAAAAAAAAAAAAAAAAAAAAAGUAAAAGUAAAAGAAAGUCAAUCACCAAUAAUGCUGGAAUAUGUCAACUUUUCUCCCACCUCUUGCCACUGAUCCAGACCCCAUUCCCUCUGCCCGGGUGAUCCCUUAUAGCUACCCAGGGCUGCGGCUUUGCUCCAUUCAAGCCAUUUUCCACGCAGCAGCAGCCAGGGCCGUCUUUCCAGAGUGUAUUAGGUUGGUGCAAAAGUAACUGUGGUUUUUGCAAUUAAAAGUAAUUGUAGGCCAGGCACAGCGGCUCAUGCCUGUAAUCGCAGCACUUUGGGAGGCUAAGACAGUUGGAUCACUUGAGGUCAGGAGUUCGAGACCCACCUGGCCAACAUAGUGAAACCUGGUCUCCACUAAAAAUACAAAAAUUAGCUGGGCAUGGUGGCACACGCCUGUAAUCCCAGCUCCUGGGGGGGUGGGGGGGCAGGGCUGAGGCAGGAGAGUCGCUUGAACCCAGGAGACGACAGCUGCAGUGAGCUGAGAUCACGCCACUGCACUCCAGCCUAGGCGACAGAGUGACUCUGUCUCAAAAAAAAAAAAAAAAAAGGAAUUGCAAAAACCGCAAUUACUUAAUAGAUCUGACCAAGACUCUCCCCAGGUUCAAACCCCGGCUUCAAACCUUUUGCUCCUUAUAGUCUUUUUUUAAAACUCUUAUCUGUGGCUCAUUGUGUCUCAAGACAGCCAAGCAAACCGAACUGCUAGGAAUUUUCCCAAUGGAACAUUCUCUCUGCAAGUCCUUUGCUCUUGCGGUUGCUCCUCCAGGAGCUCCUGCCUCCCUCUUCUCUUCCCUUCCUUGAGGCUCAGCAUGGGAGAGGCCCUGCUGCAGGUGCCCUCUGACCUCUCAGGUAGGGGAGGGGGCCUCUGUCCUCUGCAAACCUGCGCUGAGUGCUCUGGAUGGUUCCGUCCCUUGGAUUGGGCCUCCCCAAGGGCAAGACCCUGCCUGGUUCACCCUGGCCGCUCAUGCAGAGGCCUGCCUAACAUAGCUGCUGAAUGAAUGAAUGAAUGAAUUGAAUUGAAUAAUGGACAAAGCCCAACAGGGAGGGUUAGCAUAAAGGGGAGACAGG
This 2126-nucleotide long non-coding RNA is filed under the name Homo sapiens (human). RNAcentral describes it as "HSALNT0156032". The record is from RNAcentral. Lineage: Eukaryota; Metazoa; Chordata; Mammalia; Primates; Hominidae.